UACGAAGGGGGCAAGCGUUGUUCGGAAUUACUGGGCGUAAAGGGCGCGUAGGCGGCUUACCAAGUCAGGCGUGAAAUCCCCGGGCUCAACCCGGGAACUGCGUCCGAUACUGGCAGGCUUGAAUCCGGGAGAGGGAUGCGGAAUUCCAGGUGUAGCGGUGAAAUGCGUAGAUAUCUGGAGGAACACCGGUGGCGAAGGCGGCAUCCUGGACCGGCAUUGACGCUGAGGCGCGAAAGCCAGGGGAGCAAACGGG
This 253-nucleotide ribosomal RNA is filed under the name uncultured bacterium. RNAcentral describes it as "partial 16S ribosomal RNA". It matches the Rfam family "Bacterial small subunit ribosomal RNA", at positions 524 to 776 of the family's 1533-position model. The record is from RNAcentral.